AAUAACGAAGCGGUAUUUGCUUAUAAAAAGGAUUCGAUCUAUAAUCGAUCGAAGUAAAG
RNAcentral lists this transfer RNA (59 nucleotides) under Oryza punctata. RNAcentral's name for it is "tRNA-Thr". Lineage: Eukaryota; Viridiplantae; Streptophyta; Magnoliopsida; Poales; Poaceae. The record is from RNAcentral.